Molecule: long non-coding RNA, 388 nt
Organism: Rhinopithecus roxellana (golden snub-nosed monkey)
Lineage: Eukaryota; Metazoa; Chordata; Mammalia; Primates; Cercopithecidae
Exons: 3
Source: RefSeq, a predicted model, not a curated record
CGCGCAUGCGUGCGGGGGUAGCCGGCGAUGUAGCCUUCACUCUGGUCGCAGAAUUUCACAAAGCCUCUGAGUUGGUGACUGAGCACAGCCCUCCGAAGAAUGCCCUGAAGAGGAUGAGCAGGAGAGAGCACCGGUUCUCACAUCUCUUGCCUGAGUCACUGCAUUUUUAGAAAAAGUACAGUCAGUGAUAUUGGCCCUUUUCUCAACCUGUGUGUUCAGUGACAUCAUGGAAGUCAGCCUGGCCACAAUGAAGGUAUUAGUGCCCCUACAAAAGAGGCCCCAAAGAGCUGCCUCACCCCUUCUAUCACGUGACGACACAGCAAAAAGACAGCCAUCUAUGAACAAGAAUUGGACACACAACCUGCCAGUGCCUUGAUUUUGGGCUUUC